UACGUAGGGACCGAGCGUUGUCCGGAAUCAUUGGGCGUAAAGAGCGUGUAGGCGGCUAUUUAAGUCCUGCGUGAAAUCCUGCGGCUCAACCGCAGACGGUCGUGGGAAACUGGAUGGCUAGAGUGCGGGAGAGGAGAGUGGAAUUCCCGGUGUAGCGGUGAAAUGCGCAGAUAUCGGGAAGAACACCCGUGGCGAAGGCGGCUUCCUGGCCUGUUCUUGACGCUGAGGCGCGAAAGCUAGGGGAGCAAACGGG
RNAcentral lists this ribosomal RNA (253 nucleotides) under uncultured bacterium. RNAcentral describes it as "partial 16S ribosomal RNA". It matches the Rfam family "Bacterial small subunit ribosomal RNA", at positions 524 to 776 of the family's 1533-position model. The record is from RNAcentral.